UUCCCAUACCGAACACAGUAGUUAAGCUCUCCAGCGCCCAUGGUAGUUGGGGCUCACGCCCCUGCAAGAGUAGGACGUUGCCAAGC
Molecule: ribosomal RNA, 86 nt
Filed under: Gracilibacillus dipsosauri
Lineage: Bacteria; Bacillati; Bacillota; Bacilli; Caryophanales; Bacillaceae
Source: RNAcentral